Molecule: ribosomal RNA, 492 nt
Filed under: uncultured bacterium
Lineage: Bacteria
Description: partial 16S ribosomal RNA
Rfam family: Bacterial small subunit ribosomal RNA
Source: RNAcentral
AGUGAACGCUGGCGGUAGGCCUAACACAUGCAAGUCGAACGGCAGCACAGUAAGAGCUUGCUCUUACGGGUGGCGAGUGGCGGACGGGUGAGGAAUACAUCGGAAUCUACUUUUUCGUGGGGGAUAACGUAGGGAAACUUACGCUAAUACCGCAUACGACCUACGGGUGAAAGCAUGGGAUCUUCGGACCUUGCGCGAUUGAAUGAGCCGAUGUCGGUUUAGCUAGUUGGCGGGGUAAAGGCCCACCAAGGCGACGAUCCGUAGCUGGUCUGAGAGGAUGAUCAGCCACACUGGAACUGAGACACGGUCCAGACUCCUACGGGAGGCAGCAGAGGGGAAUAUUGGACAAUGGGGGCAAGCCUGAUCCAGCCAUACCGCGUGGGGGAAGAAGGCCUUCGGGUUGUAAAGCCCUUUUGUUGGGAAAGAAAAGCAGCAGGUUAAUACCCCGCUGUUCUGACGGUACCCAAAGAAUAAGCACCGGCUAACUUCGUG